UGCGUAGGUGGUGAUAUAAGUUAUCUGUGAAAUCCCUGGGCUUAACCUGGGCAGGUCAGAUAAGACUGUAUAACUAGAGUAUGGGAGAGGGUAGUGGAAUUUCCGGUGUAGCGGUGAAAUGCGUAGAGAUCGGAAGGAACACCAGUGGCGAAGGCGGCUACCUGGCCUAAUACUGACACUGAGGCACGAAAGCGUGGGGAGCAAACA
Molecule: ribosomal RNA, 207 nt
Filed under: uncultured bacterium
Lineage: Bacteria
Description: partial 16S ribosomal RNA
Rfam family: Bacterial small subunit ribosomal RNA
Source: RNAcentral